RNAcentral lists this long non-coding RNA (1579 nucleotides) under Centruroides sculpturatus (bark scorpion). Its description in RNAcentral is "uncharacterized LOC111619712". The record is from RNAcentral. Lineage: Eukaryota; Metazoa; Arthropoda; Arachnida; Scorpiones; Buthidae.
UUUUCCAUUAAGAGCCAUAAAAAGCUUUAAAUGUCUGUUUGAAUUAGUGUGAUCUUUAAGCUGAUUUCAAAGAUUCUAAAUAUGUGUGAAUUUUUCACUGAUACACAAUGUCUUUCAGAUGGCAUCAUAGAUAAAUUGAGGUGUCAGAUUUAGUGACCUGUAUGGUCACUCAGUGGAUCCUUAACUUAGCCAAUGUCAUAGGAACUGUCUAACUAUGUGUACACAGCUACAUCAUAAUGAGGAGGGCAGCAUCUAUCUGGAAAAACUUCAAUAACUUGGAGCCUUCAUCCUGCAGCAUGUGCAGAUACAAUUCUGCUAUUAAGUUCUUAUCAAUGAAAAAUUGUCCAAUAACCCUAUCACCCCAGAUUCCAAACUAUUACUUUGCUGGAAUUCUGGGUCUUUGAUAAAUCUAUCCAUUUAGAUUUUUAUGGUUUCAGUGUCUUUGGUUUGCUCAUUCGCUUUCUCAUUAACAUAAAAGUUUGCCUUGUCACUAAACAUGAUUUCACUUUCAAGUUGUGAAUCAUGGUCCAACAUUUGUAAGAUCCGCUGACAAAAUUGAGAUGUUUGUCAGGGCCAUCUUUAUAUAGCUUUUGUUGCAGCUGAAGUUUGUAUGGGUAUCACUCAUUUUUGUGCAGAAUCCUGAUAGCAGUAGUUUAACUAACACCAUAUUUCAUUGAUAGUCUUCUGAUGCUCUUCUGUCAACUUUUGUUACAGUGACUAUCACUCCUAUUAAUAUGUGGGAUCACAUACAGCACUAGGACAACCACUUCUGAAUGCUAACUGUUGCCCUAAAUUUUUGGAUAAUUUUUUCAGUUUGUUCAUUAAUUGGCUCUCUGUAUCAUCAUAAUUGAAUAUCUCUGACUUCAUAUGAAUCUCUACUGCCUGCCAACAGGAUCAUAAUUUUGUCAUGAAUUCAUAGUGACAUUAUCAGUUACCUGAAAAGACAUGACAUUAGUAUCUGCUGUCAUAACACUGAAAAACUAACUUUUCCAAUGCAUUUCUUGGGAAAUUUAGCCUAAAACGAUGCAUUUACUUGUAUUCAAGAAUCUUUGAUGGGAAGGGGUCAUAUCCCCUUCCCAUUUGAAGAUUCUUGGAGUCACAUGUGUCUGACAGAUACUGCCAUAGUGCCAAGAAGUUUCCUUCCAUCCAUCUAAGUGUUCUAUAAAAUUUCCAAAGUGUUGUUUUUUAUUCAUAAGAUAUUUGGAGUAGUCCUGAUUUUUCACUCAUCCUGUAGUUAUAUUUAAACAUAGAUGUUGAUUUUUCAUAGCAUGGAAAAGAUGCUGUCAUAUGCUAUGUAAUAUCAAUGAUCAGCAAUUUAUUGUAAUCUUAAAAUUUUUAAUUUUGUUUAAGCAUAUUUUUGAAUAUUAAAAAUAUUAAAAAUGUUAAUAUUUUCAGAGAGAAUUAGCUGAUGCUACUAACAAUUUGUCCAGACACUUAAGAAUAUAUGAAGACCAGUCUUUUCCUUUGGAUACAGAUCCAGACAGUGUUUUAAGAUCUACUUUAAGACAGAUUUCCAGUAUGUUAGAUGAAGUAAGUUCUUGGCAGCAAAUGUGUGCAACACAAAUGGCAGAUGGCAUGA